This 386-nucleotide long non-coding RNA is filed under the name Sorghum bicolor (sorghum). Its description in RNAcentral is "long non-coding RNA (SBIC_LNC009475)". Lineage: Eukaryota; Viridiplantae; Streptophyta; Magnoliopsida; Poales; Poaceae. The record is from RNAcentral.
UGUUAGCCGGCUCAACACAUUCCUCCGCCAGAUAGUGCUCUACCCCUUUUCCACCUAGGAGCACUUGCACUCUUCUAGACCAGCUCAAAUAAUUCUUGCUUCCCUCUAAUUUCACAUCAUUUGGCACUAGUUCCAGCUUCAACUCAGGUGGUCUGGAACCAAUUAUGCCCAUCUCCAGAAGCUCCAGAAUCAUAGACCUCAUCUCACUUUUCAUCUCACCCUUAGUAAUUAGGGGGUCACUUCCAAUCUUGUCACCACUCUGAGCCUUAUUCGCCUCAUCCUCUGCUUUCUUCUUUGCUUCCCCAUCUGGAUCCAUCUUCCUCACCUCAAGUGCAGCACUUCACCAAAUUUCUACCCAAUUACAACUCCAAAUCAGUAGCCCGCAC